Molecule: long non-coding RNA, 569 nt
Organism: Ornithodoros turicata
Lineage: Eukaryota; Metazoa; Arthropoda; Arachnida; Ixodida; Argasidae
Exons: 3
Source: RefSeq, a predicted model, not a curated record
CAUGCACGAGCCAAGCAUGCAGCACUGAGUGAAACAGGUAACCCAUAGCGCAGCUCCACUGGUUCCAAAUUUGAUGGACACAGCCGUGAGUUACCUGGCAGUAUUGUGGCAGAGGGUAUCUUGUGCCACAGAAGUACAUACGAACAGUCCAGCAGAAAUACAGCAGCAGCCCAAUCCAAGUCUAUAACUCUGCAGAGGCUCAGAGAGAUAGCAGCAAACCAGGUCCUUCUGACAACUCUCCGCAAGCUCGGGAUUCGUCGCAAACCCAGCCAGCCAGCCAGCCAUGUACGAACCCAUAUUUGCCAACAUUGUAGAUUGUCGACUAGGUAUUUCCAGUGCUUUUGUGACCACGUUGUUCAGUGUGUUGGGUGUGGCUUUCUCCCUUCUUGUGAUACUUGUGGAACAACAUUUGAAACCAUCUAAAGAUACAGACAUCAUUUGAAUUUUUGUAUUUAGUUAAGCACACGAGUACAGGAUGACAUAACAUGACAGGAUGAGCCAGCCAACACAAUGUAUAGGUGAGCUACUUGAGCAGAUGGAAAGAACAGAUCAAAGUUCGAAGAAUAAUC